Molecule: ribosomal RNA, 303 nt
Filed under: uncultured bacterium
Lineage: Bacteria
Description: partial 16S ribosomal RNA
Rfam family: Bacterial small subunit ribosomal RNA
Source: RNAcentral
AGCAGUCGCCACGGUAACACGUAGGGUGCAAGCGUUAAUCGGAAUUACUGGGCGUAAAGCGUGCGCAGGCGGUUCGCUAAGACAGAUGUGAAAUCCCCGGGCUUAACCUGGGAACUGCAUUUGUGACUGGCGGGCUAGAGUAUGGCAGAGGGGGGUAGAAUUCCACGUGUAGCAGUGAAAUGCGUAGAGAUGUGGAGGAAUACCGAUGGCGAAGGCAGCCCCCUGGGCCAAUACUGACGCUCAUGCACGAAAGCGUGGGGAGCAAACAGGAUUAGAUACCCCCGUAGUCCCUGUCUCUUAUAA